Molecule: non-coding RNA, 24 nt
Filed under: Mus musculus (house mouse)
Lineage: Eukaryota; Metazoa; Chordata; Mammalia; Rodentia; Muridae
Source: RNAcentral
UGCAAACUUUAUAUGUCACAGGGG